This 425-nucleotide ribosomal RNA is filed under the name uncultured bacterium. RNAcentral's name for it is "partial 16S ribosomal RNA". It matches the Rfam family "Bacterial small subunit ribosomal RNA", at positions 354 to 796 of the family's 1533-position model. The record is from RNAcentral.
GUGGGGAAUCUUAGACAAUGGGGGCAACCCUGAUCUAGCCUUGCCGCGUGAGUGAUGAAGGCCUUAGGGUUGUAAAGCUCUUUCAGUGGGGACGAUAAUGACGGUACCCACAGAAGAAGCCCCGGCUAACUUCGUGCCAGCAGCCGCGGUAAUACGAAGGGGGCUAGCGUUGUUCGGAUUUACUGGGCGUAAAGCGCACGUAGGCGGAUCGUUAAGUCGGGGGUGAAAUCCUGGAGCUCAACUCCAGAACUGCCUUCGAUACUGGCGAUCUUGAGUCCGGAAGAGGUGAGUGGAACUCCUAGUGUAGAGGUGGAAUUCGUAGAUAUUAGGAAGAACACCAGUGGCGAAGGCGGCUCACUGGUCCGGUACUGACGCUGAGGUGCGAAAGCGUGGGGAGCAAACAGGAUUAGAUACCCCGGUAGUCC